RNAcentral lists this long non-coding RNA (644 nucleotides) under Citrus maxima (pomelo). Its description in RNAcentral is "long non-coding RNA (CMAX_LNC003177)". Lineage: Eukaryota; Viridiplantae; Streptophyta; Magnoliopsida; Sapindales; Rutaceae. The record is from RNAcentral.
UCCACUCCACCUGAGGUGAGCACAGCAACAAAAGGAUGCAACAUAAAAAUAAAAAAAAGUCACAAAGUUGAGAAAUGAACAGAAAGAAUUUUUAAGCCUGAUGUGGCAACAGAGCACCAUGAAAAAAAAAAAAAAAUUAAGAAUAUGGUCAUUAGCAACAAAUAUAUUUAACAGAACAUAUAUACACAUGAAGAGAGUCAAUAGCAAAAUCAAAACAGAAGUUUCUUUCAUUUAAACAGAAAAAAAGAGGUGGCUCAAUUACAUGACGAGCACUUCUAUCUAAUACCAGCAAUAACUGAACCACCAAAGUGUACAAAAAUUCAUAGGCGUGGAGCCACCAACACUAAUCUCUCUAGUGUGCUGAACAUCAUGAGUACAUGCAGACUCAGAUAUAGCAUUGCUAGAACAUAAUUGUUGCCCGGCAAAGUAACAAUACGGAAAUUGAUUUAAGACAGGAAUUUUUAAAAAAAAAUGAAAAAUUGGCAUUAACAUCACUUACCAUAGCAUUCGUCGGUUGGCGGUUCCACCUUCGUUCUUUAAUUUCUUGAUCACAGAGAUUCAACAACCGACAUUGCCGCCCAAACCCUGCUCAUUUAUUAUAGGCUCUGCACCCCGAAUUUGUUCUCCACUUGGGCCUAUUUUAA